UACGUAGGGGGCAAGCGUUGUCCGGAAUCAUUGGGCGUAAAGAGCGUGUAGGCUGCCCGGUAAGUCCGCUGUGAAAGUCCAGGGCUCAACCCUGGGAUGCCGGUGGAUACUGUCGGGCUCGAGUCCGGAAGAGGAGUGUGGAAUUCCUGGUGUAGCGGUGAAAUGCGCAGAUAUCAGGAAGAACACCCGUGGCGAAAGCGGCUCUCUGGAACGGUACUGACGCUGAGACGCGAAAGCGUGGGGAGCGAACAGG
Molecule: ribosomal RNA, 253 nt
Filed under: uncultured bacterium
Lineage: Bacteria
Description: partial 16S ribosomal RNA
Rfam family: Bacterial small subunit ribosomal RNA
Source: RNAcentral